RNAcentral lists this ribosomal RNA (491 nucleotides) under uncultured bacterium. RNAcentral describes it as "partial 16S ribosomal RNA". It matches the Rfam family "Bacterial small subunit ribosomal RNA", at positions 29 to 506 of the family's 1533-position model. The record is from RNAcentral.
AGUGAGCGCUGGCGGUAGGCCUAACACAUGCAAGUCGAACGGCAGCACAGUAAGAGCUUGCUCUUACGGGUGGCGAGUGGCGGACGGGUGAGGAAUACAUCGGAAUCUACUUUUUCGUGGGGGAUAACGUAGGGAAACUUACGCUAAUACCGCAUACGACCUACGGGUGAAAGCAGGGGAUCUUCGGACCUUGCGCGAUUGAAUGAGCCGAUGUCGGAUUAGCUAGUUGGCGGGGUAAAGGCCCACCAAGGCGACGAUCCGUAGCUGGUCUGAGAGGAUGAUCAGCCACACUGGAACUGAGACACGGUCCAGACUCCUACGGGAGGCAGCAGUGGGGAAUAUUGGACAAUGGGCGCAAGCCUGAUCCAGCCAUACCGCGUGGGUGAAGAAGGCCUUCGGGUUGUAAAGCCCUUUUGUUGGGAAAGAAAAGCAGCAGGUUAAGACCCCGCUGUUCUGACGGUACCCAAAGAAUAAGCACCGGCUAACUUCGU